CGGCUCAUAACAAGCGCCGGUACCGUGCCGGGUUUGAGGGAUACCGAGUGGUCGAUGGUUCGAAUCCGUCAGGGCCCA
Molecule: transfer RNA, 78 nt
Filed under: Halostagnicola sp. A56
Lineage: Archaea; Methanobacteriati; Methanobacteriota; Halobacteria; Halobacteriales; Natrialbaceae
Description: tRNA-Ser
Source: RNAcentral